GACGAACGCUGGCGGCGUGCUUAACACAUGCAAGUCGAACGGAAAGGCCCUGCUUUUGUGGGGUGCUCGAUUGGCGAACGGGUGAGUAACACGUGAGUAACCUGCCCUUGACUGUGUGAUAACUUCAGGAAACUGGGGCGAAUACCGCAUAGAAGCUCCUGCAGCACGGGGGGGGUUGGAGAGAUUCGGCGGUUGGGGAUGUACUCGCGGCUUAUCAGCUUGUUGGUGGGGUAGUGGCUUACCAAGGCUUUGACGGGUAGCCGGCCUGAGAGGGUGACCGGGCACAUUGGGACUGAGGUACGGCCCAGACGCCUACGGGAGGCAACAGUGGGGAAUAUUGCGCAGUGGGCGGAAGCCUGUUGCAGCAGCGCCGCGUGCGGGAUGACGGCCUUCGAGUUGUAAACAGAUUUCGAAUGUAACGAAGCGUGAGUGACGGUAAUGGGUAAAGAAGCACCGGCUAACUACGUG
RNAcentral lists this ribosomal RNA (468 nucleotides) under uncultured bacterium. Its description in RNAcentral is "partial 16S ribosomal RNA". It matches the Rfam family "Bacterial small subunit ribosomal RNA", at positions 28 to 507 of the family's 1533-position model. The record is from RNAcentral.